RNAcentral lists this ribosomal RNA (253 nucleotides) under uncultured bacterium. RNAcentral describes it as "partial 16S ribosomal RNA". It matches the Rfam family "Bacterial small subunit ribosomal RNA", at positions 524 to 776 of the family's 1533-position model. The record is from RNAcentral.
UACAGAGGGUGCAAGCGUUGUUCGGAAUUACUGGGCGUAAAGCGCGUGUAGGCGGUUUGGUAAGUUCUGUGUGAAAGCCCUGGGCUCAACCCAGGAAGUGCGCAGAAUACUGCCUGACUGGAGUGACGGAGAGGAUGGCGGAAUUCCCGGUGUAGAGGUGAAAUUCGUAGAUAUCGGGAGGAACACCGGUGGCGAAGGCGGCCUUCUGGUCGGAUACUGACGCUAAAACGCGAAAGCGUGGGGAGCAAACAGG